UGAAACCACCCUCUCUAGUGCUCGCGGAGGGCGCUGGGGACGUGUGAGCCCCCGGGAGACCGUGCGGCUCUGGUCCUCCACCUUCUGGCACCUGGCAGCGUGUGAGGGAGGACAUGGCACAGCUGCCYGGUCCUACAGCGGGUCCCCCUCCUCGCUGGCCGGAGAGCGAUGUGGCUCUGCAGGGUGUCAUCGCCCACCCAGGGCCCCAGAUCUGUGGACGAGGCAGCAAGGUGGUCUGCACGGCAGGAGGGUUGGUAGGACGCGUGCUGGACUCUGGGCUGCCCCUAGUCCUGUGGCACCCAGAGCUUGGCCUCCCUGCUGGCCUGUGCUGCCACCGCCUGCCCUCUGACUCGGCACAGGUGGGCACAGGGCUGCCGGGGAAGGCCACGUUCCACUCAUACACAGAACCAGCACAGCAUGAAAACCAUCGUGAGCCUAAAUGCAGACCCGAGCCGUCUUCUCGGAACCACUGCCGUUUUAAUCACAGUUGUGAUUACCUUGAGCCCCGUUGCAGAGAUGGGAGGUGGGUGCCAAAGCCCCCUUGCAGGACCCAAGUGAGCACUGCUGUGUCCACUGGGGUCAGGAACUUGAUGCUGGGCACCGGGAGCCCCCUCUGUCCCUUCUCUGACACGGUCUGUUCUGUUCCUGGCCCUGUGCAAGGGAGAAUUCCUGCCAAUGUCGCUGCUGUGGGCUGCACUGUGGCCAGGGCAGGUGUCUGUCCUCCCAGUUAGAUAUUCAGAACCAUGGACACCCGGUCCCUCCUCCCAGCCUCCUGCUCUGGCUCCUGGGUUACUUCCCACUUUGCUGGCCGGCGUGAGUCCUGCCUCAGAAGACGCCCAAAACACCACUGAGGUCCUGAGGCCUGGCAGCUGCAGACCUGGUGGGCCACACUGGAUACCCAUCAUCGUGGCCUGGGCAGCCCCACAGUUGGCCAGAGGAGGGACCACAUGAAGGGCCAGGGCAGGGGCCUCUGUGGGCACCGUGCUGUCACUCCCUGGGAGAAGUCGCAGCCUGUAGCCCUGCCCAGAGCCCUCAUUCAAACCAAGCGGUUAUCAGCUGUGGGAAGGAAUGGCCUGUGUCAAGGGCUGUGCUGCCCUUGGGGACAUCUGCAAUGAGUGCCAAAGGGAUGACUGUCCACUUCCUUGAAGGGGGURUGGCGGUGGCCCAGACCAGGACCGCUGGCCUGAUGUGGACUGGACGCAGGACAGUUUGAGGGGYGGUAUGUGUACUCCCUUUGUGGGCCGCCAUGCUGGAGAGCACUCUCACUGUCCUGGAGGCCGAAUCUGAGACCCAGCUGAGGCCAGCCAGUUCCCUGAGGCCUCUCCUUGGCUCGUGGACAUCGUCUCUGAUCCCAUAGGGCACCCUCAAUGCCCUUUUCAAGCCACCUGUGUGACCUCAUUUCACUUCUCUCUUGGAGAACUUUUCACCCCACACGGCCACCUUCCCAGGUGCUGGGGGCUGGGGACCCGGGUAUGUUUUAUUGGGGGGACAGUCYGCCCACAACAGUAGGUCCCCUGCAACACCUGGGGCAUAAUUAUUCUGAAACAUUAGUUGUGCUUAUCUACCCAUCGAACCAGCUGGACACUCAGCAUUUUUCUUUGCUGAAUCGUCCACCCUUGGGGGAUGGCCUGUGUCCAGGCAGCCCCGGCCCCUCAGUGGCCUACCCCCAGAUGCAGGCUGUGCCCACAGGGAGCGGGGCUUAGACCAUGGGAGCCCUGGUGUGGGCCUGGG
RNAcentral lists this long non-coding RNA (1731 nucleotides) under Urocitellus parryii (Arctic ground squirrel). RNAcentral's name for it is "lncRNA (ENSUPAG00010013080.1)". The record is from RNAcentral. Lineage: Eukaryota; Metazoa; Chordata; Mammalia; Rodentia; Sciuridae.